This 120-nucleotide ribosomal RNA is filed under the name Panthera tigris altaica (Amur tiger). The record is from RNAcentral. Lineage: Eukaryota; Metazoa; Chordata; Mammalia; Carnivora; Felidae.
GUCCACGGCCAUACCACCCUGAAUGCACCUGAUCUCGUCUGAUCUCAGAACAUUGGGGAAGAUAGAAAAGUUUGAGGGAACCCAUAAGAAAACUACUAGAAUUAAUAAGAGACUUGAACA